RNAcentral lists this ribosomal RNA (497 nucleotides) under uncultured bacterium. RNAcentral describes it as "partial 16S ribosomal RNA". It matches the Rfam family "Bacterial small subunit ribosomal RNA", at positions 28 to 507 of the family's 1533-position model. The record is from RNAcentral.
GAUGAACGCUGGCGGCGUGCCUAAUACAUGCAAGUCGAGCGAACAGACGAGGAGCUUGCUCCUCUGACGUUAGCGGCGGACGGGUGAGUAACACGUGGAUAACCUACCUAUAAGACUGGGAUAACUUCGGGAAACCGUAGCUAAUACCGGAUAAUAUAUUGAACCGCAUGGUUCAAUAGUGAAAUACGGUUUUGCUGUCACUUAUAGAUGGAUCCGCGCCGCAUUAGCUAGUUGGUAAGGUAACGGCUUACCAAGGCAACGAUGCGUAGCCGACCUGAGGGGGUGAUCGGCCACACUGGAACUGAGACACGGUCCAGACGCCUACGGGAGGCAGCAGUAGGGAAUCUUCCGCAAUGGGCGAAAGCAUGACGGAGCAACGCCGCGUGAGUGAUGAAGGUCUUCGGAUCGUAAAACUCUGUUAGUAGGGAAGAACAAAUGUGUAAGUAACUAUGCACGUCUUGACGGUACCUAAUCAGAAAGCCACGGCUAACUACGUG